Molecule: long non-coding RNA, 1720 nt
Organism: Oreochromis aureus
Lineage: Eukaryota; Metazoa; Chordata; Actinopteri; Cichliformes; Cichlidae
Source: Ensembl
CUGGGGCUUGCUUUUCAGGUUCCUGGACACAUCAUGCUGUGAACAAUUCAACCAGAAACUUGCCUUAACUUAUCCAUAGAUGUUAACCUCUAACUUUCUUCCGACUGCUGCUGUGGAGAGCCGGUCCAAGUCUGCUUUACUCCUGAAAAUAACAAAACUAAGACAUUUUCAUUAUUAUCACCAGUGGUUAAAUAACCCAUUUCUCUGUCUCUGGUCAGAAACACCAAUUAUGCCAUGCAUGUAAGCGUGUUCUUCCCUGCAUUUUAUGUUAAUUGGGUGUAUACUACUUCUUCAUUAAAUUAAUUCAUUGAGUUCUUCGUUGCCUUGCGAUGUAUUCAUGUUAAUGUACACUACGUGUAAGCUGUUUCUUCAUUGCAUCCUAUAUAUUCAUAUUUAAUUUAUGCAUUUCACCACUGAGCUUUAGAUUCAAACUAUCUCACUUCUGAUUCAUUUCAAAAAUAUCUCACAUGUAACAAUUUGUAUGUGUGUUUUCUAUUCAUUAAGGUAAUGACAAUUAUUUCUUUCAUUAUUCUCACCUUUUCUAAUGUUUACCUCUUUGUUAUGCUGUAGUGGACAUCCCUAAACAAUUCAUGAGUUCAGGCUUCAAUUUUCAAUCCAAUUAUAUCCUAUAUUCUCGCAGUCAAACUCGUCCAGCUUCAUCUCUCACUGGUCCUCUCUGCACAAUGUCCUAUUCGGGCUUCAAAGCUCCAGCAAACACAGUCUCAACUCAGCUGCUGUCUUCUUCUCUGUUUCUUUACAGUCUUUUCUUUCAGAUUAAGUCCCAGCAUGGCAAAAUAUCACUCAAUGUCCAGUGCUCUUCCACAAUUCUUUAUCCCACUGUUCAACUGCCCAGCCUGUAUUUUCACAGUACAUGUUGCAUUAGUCUUACAUGCUGCUGCUGGUCGUCAGUCGUCAUCAGUGUUAAUGGAUCAGUGGCCCUGUCGUUUGCCUGCUGUAUUCAAGUCCACGAUGUUCUAUCUUCGUCAUCAGUGUUAAUGGAUCAGUGGCACUGUCGUUUGCCUGCUGUAUUCAAGUCCACGAUGUUCUGUCGGUCUUCAUCAGGCGAUUGACUGUCCUUGACUGUCCUUUGAGUUUCUUCUCAGUUUCAGGGACAAAGUGAGAGAUCAAGCUGCACAAUUUCGAGCCAAAGCCUGGCUUAUUCUCCCAAUUCUGUUAAUCUAUUGUUCUGGUGCUGCACUCAAGGUUCCAAAGUUGAGAGACGUCCACCUGUAUUGACACACUAAAGCAUACAAUUAGUAUUAUAUUCAUUUUUUCUUAAAGGCUUCAUUUGCUUCAUGUGCCUCAUCUGUCUCUCUGUGUUCUCUCUGUACACACUCAGUUCCUUUUAUGGGCAUGCAGAGUUCCUGUUCACUAUUUCCUGUUCUCUGCAGAGUCUGUCUCUCUUUAUAUUUAUAGUCUAAAAACCCUCUUUAAUUCUACUAAAUCUUGAUCUACAAAACAAUACACCUUCAUUUCACUCACACACAUUUAAAUAGAGCUCUUUCACACAUCAGAACAACUAACACUUCUCCACACACAUCACCCUUCACCCUUCUUUAGAUCAGUUUGUAGCGUAUACACUUAUAUGUUUUCCAUCAGAAAAAAUAAACUCAAUUUCUCCUAACCUCACUCAUGCGUUUCUUGAAUUAAAAGCACUUUCAAACUUUAAAACAUCCUACUUUACAUCACCAAAGAAAUAUAUUUCAUACACACUGAGAAC